This 252-nucleotide long non-coding RNA is filed under the name Gossypium barbadense (sea-island cotton). Its description in RNAcentral is "long non-coding RNA (GBAR_LNC021652)". Lineage: Eukaryota; Viridiplantae; Streptophyta; Magnoliopsida; Malvales; Malvaceae. The record is from RNAcentral.
AGAGGAAGAAAGUAAAAAUGAUGGUGAUGGCAAAGACGCUUGCUUACAGGGGAUGGCGGUAAUGGAAGAGAAAAUGGCUACUGAUAUGCGCUAAUGACAGUAAAAAACAAGAAGGUUUGGCUAAUAGGAAAAAAAAAGAUACGUAGAAAAAUUAAAUCAGAUUGGAGGAGAAAGUAAUAAUAGGCGACACAAUGGAAGAGGAGAAUGAGGAGAAAAAAAGAAAGAAAAUAAAAGAAAAUACAGAGAACAAAG